UACGUAGGGUGCAAGCGUUAAUCGGAAUUACUGGGCGUAAAGCGUGCGCAGGCGGCUUUGCAAGACAGAUGUGAAAUCCCCGGGCUCAACCUGGGAACUGCAUUUGUGACUGCAAGGCUGGAGUACGGCAGAGGGGGAUGGAAUUCCGCGUGUAGCAGUGAAAUGCGUGGAUAUGCGGACGAACACCGAUGGCGAAGGCAAUCCCCUGGGCCUGUACUGACGCUCAUGCACGAAAGCGUGGGGAGCAAACAGG
RNAcentral lists this ribosomal RNA (253 nucleotides) under uncultured bacterium. RNAcentral's name for it is "partial 16S ribosomal RNA". It matches the Rfam family "Bacterial small subunit ribosomal RNA", at positions 524 to 776 of the family's 1533-position model. The record is from RNAcentral.